AGAGCGAACGCUGGCGGCAGGCCUAACACAUGCAAGUCGAACGAACUCUUCGGAGUUAGUGGCGGACGGGUGAGUAACACGUGGGAACGUGCCUUUUGGUUCGGAAUAACUCAGGGAAACUUGUGCUAAUACCGAAUGUGCCCUUCGGGGGAAAGAUUUAUCGCCAUUAGAGCGGCCCGCGUCUGAUUAGCUAGUUGGUGAGGUAAAGGCUCACCAAGGCGACGAUCAGUAGCUGGUCUGAGAGGAUGAUCAGCCACAUUGGGACUGAGACACGGCCCAAACUCCUACGGGAGGCAGCAGUGGGGAAUCUUGCGCAAUGGGCGAAAGCCUGACGCAGCCAUGCCGCGUGAAUGAUGAAGGUCUUAGGAUUGUAAAAUUCUUUCACCGGGGACGAUAAUGACGGUACCCGGAGAAGAAGCCCCGGCUAACUUCGUGCCAGCAGCCGCGGUAAUACGAAGGGGGCUAGCGUUGCUCGGAAUUACUGGGCGUAAAGGGAGCGUAGGCGGACAUUUAAGUCAGGGGUGAAAUCCCGGGGCUCAACCUCGGAAUUGCCUUUGAUACUGGGUGUCUUGAGUAUGAGAGAGGUGUGUGGAACUCCGAGUGUAGAGGUGAAAUUCGUAGAUAUUCGGAAGAACACCAGUGGCGAAGGCGACACACUGGCUCAUUACUGACGCUGAGGCUCGAAAGCGUGGGGAGCAAACAGGAUUAGAUACCCUGGUAGUCCACGCCG
RNAcentral lists this ribosomal RNA (730 nucleotides) under Caulobacteraceae bacterium. RNAcentral describes it as "bacterial SSU rRNA". It matches the Rfam family "Bacterial small subunit ribosomal RNA", at positions 26 to 802 of the family's 1533-position model. The record is from RNAcentral. Lineage: Bacteria; Pseudomonadati; Pseudomonadota; Alphaproteobacteria; Caulobacterales; Caulobacteraceae.